UGCCCAGCAACUCCUAUCUCUACCUCCUCGUGGUAAUUGCCGGGGUACGAGUAACCUUAGGGAAGAUCGGGUAACCAACCCCCGGUGGGAACUUUGGUCGUAUGCUGACAGGGAAGG
This 117-nucleotide ribozyme is filed under the name Aedes aegypti (yellow fever mosquito). Its description in RNAcentral is "drz-agam-1 ribozyme". It matches the Rfam family "drz-agam-1 ribozyme". Lineage: Eukaryota; Metazoa; Arthropoda; Insecta; Diptera; Culicidae. The record is from Rfam by way of RNAcentral.